Elgaria multicarinata webbii is the source of this 2760-nucleotide long non-coding RNA. RefSeq lists it as uncharacterized. Lineage: Eukaryota; Metazoa; Chordata; Lepidosauria; Squamata; Anguidae. The record is from RefSeq and is a predicted model, not a curated record. The transcript has 6 exons.
UUUCACCCCAAGAUGGUGGCGCCUGUCGGUCAGUGGAAGUUUUGGAAACCAGAUGGCUGGCCGGGUAGCUGAGGAGAGGGAUGUCUUACUGGGUCAUGAAGUUGGAUACUGCAUACGAUUUGAUGAUUGUACUACUCACCCACAGGCUACAAGGAUUAAGUCCUGGUCCAGAUUAUGUGAAAUCAACUGCGGAAACUAUCAUGAAAAUUCAUCAGACAGAAGGUGGUCCAGACCCUGCUCUAAGGUGCAUAGUAUCUGGAUUCUUUGCUAAUGCAGCCAGGAGCCUACAGGGUUGUUUACAAUGAAGACAUACAGACCUCAAAGUAUUACAUGCGAGACAUAACAGCUGUUGAAAAUGCUUGGCUUCUGGAAUUGGCCCCUCACUUUUACCAGCAAGGAAAGCUUCUUUCUCUGAAAGCCAAAAGAGCCAAAGUAGAUGAUCGCUGAUGCGCCAUGGCCGUCGAACUUCGCAGUGUGUGAUGCUGAACUUGCUGCCAAUUUGAAACUGUGCUACUGUCCAUCUAACAAUUAGCUGAUUAGCCACAUGACCCUGCAUCAACUAUAAAUGUUGAAAUGCCUGCCUGCCAAGAUAUUGUAGGGAUUUAUGCAUGGCCAAUACAUUGUAACACUUCAGUAGAGCUUGUAUUGCGGACAUUUUAUCCAGCAGUCUAAUUGUGAUGACUGCUCCGGUUAACCAGGGCAUUUGCUCCUUUUAAAUUAAGUAGGAAAAUACACAAUACGAAGGUGACAUGAACAAUCAUAAGAAAUAUUGCAAUGCUUGGAUAGCUGCUCUGCACCCUUGGGCUAGAGAGGGGGAGGAGAAGAUACAGUGCCCUCAGAGUGAUGAAGUGAAGUUCAGGAACCUUUACACCACUGUGAAAGCUGUUGGCCAACCUGCCAAUCUUAUGCAGAAAUAGUUAUACAUAUUUGGUUUUAGCUUUUUGUUAUUGUGAAUCCUGAAAAUCCUCUGUGUUGGGUCUGUGGUCUUGCAAAGUGUUCCUUUUGCCUGAGAUUCAUGAUCACUAUCAGUGGGUCAGUUAUCAGUCAAAUGGCAGUGACUACAUACUAGGGAGGAGAAAGACAGCCAGCAGGCAGGAUGACCAUCUUCAGAGAGAAUUCUCUUUCCUUCAGGCUGAGGGUAAAGACAUUGAAGGGGUCCUCUAAACUGGGAAACGGCAGUGGUUGAGCUCCUGGCAUUAAGCCAUUUUGGCCUUUUCUAGAUAGUCUUAAUAGCCUUCCCUGUUACACCAGACAAGAGAGCAUUCCUUAUCUGGCUGCUGAUGCUCUUUAAGGACAACCAAUUAGAAUGAGUUCAAGGGGGUUCAUUUCCCUGCAUGUAAUGUAGAAAUGGCUCACUUUCAAAAAGCUCCCAUGACAUUUAACUUGAUUAAUGGUUUUAUUUGUUUUUAGCUGUGUAUAUUUAUUGUUUUAUAUUGUGUGAUUUUAUCUAUACGCCACCCUGAGAUCCUAGUGAUAUAGGGCAGGAUACAAAUGUUUUCAAUAAAAUAAAUAAAUAAAUUUAAUCUGUUGGUACUGCUCUUUAUCCUAUGCCAGGAUUCCUUGAGGGUUGCAGAGGAAGCUCCUAGUAAGUUCAAGGCAGGAAUGUGGAUCAAGACAAGUAGGUAGGACCCUGGAUAGCUCCUAGAACUCUCUCCUACCAAGCUAAUAGGAAGGUAUUGUCUCAUCAGGGAGCUAAAGCCAACUAAAGCCAUAUGUACGUUGACAUACCGCUAGUGUGGUCAGCUUUGUCCCUCCUGGAAGAGCUAGCUGGAUUGUUAAAGGUCCCUUUCCUGAUUCUGCAGCCUGAGGCUUCUUCAAGGCUGGAGAGGUGGAAGUUCUGCUGGUAACUCAUCCUCUGAGCCAGAGAAUGAGUUAUGGCUGAUAGCAGGGCUGUGGCUGAGAGGGCCCUGAAUAAGGCACUUCCUAUCCCUGAAGAAGUAGCUUGGACCUCAUUGGAAUCCUCUAUGCCGCACUGGAAGAUUGAGGGCUGGGGGUCAUGACAGUCUUGGCCAAGUUUAGCAAAUACCAAAGGGUGCUUCCAUGAACCUGAGAAAAUGCAGAUAUAUCCUGCCCUGUCCACUUUUACUAAAGCAUAGUGAUCUUUGCAGCUGUGCUAGGACAAUAUAGUUAUCUAUAUAGUCUAUGUAGCAUGCACUGGUUAAACUGUGCAUUGGCUGCCUUUCCACAGAAACUCCCUUUCUUGAAUCUGUGGUAUAGUUUUCGAUAAAUAUAUCUUUAUUUUCAAAUAAUGCUUAUUUUAGGAUGGUGUUCUUUGGGUGUGUGGGUUUGUUUUUGUUUUUAGAACAUUGGUGGGUUUUUUUGCUGAAUGCCUCUUCCUUGCCCUGGAUGUGCAUCAUGAAUCACUUUUUCAGCUCCUCCUUCCCAUUUUGCUUUUCACAAAUUUACAGAGGAGCUUGUUCUAUCAAUGUGUGGUUUAUGCAAUAUCUUUGUGCAGUAUAAUAUCUGCAGCUUAACAAAAUUUCAUUCCCACCUCUUGAUUUCUGAUGCAACUGGUUCUCUCUCCCUCUUCCUCUAUCUCUGAACUCUGUAAAGCUGGAGUUGCCUUUUAUUGUUGCAUGCUAUGUGGUGACCAGAAUAUUGGUGAUGCUGUAUAAUGGGUAUCUGACUUGAUUCUGAAGCUGUGUUGUUCCUUUAAAGGAUCUUACAAGGUCAUGGAUACAAAGUGUGUUCAAUUCCAUGUUGCUUUGUCCUCUGAUAACUCACUUAAAGGGGAAAAAAAUAAAGUUGUGGAAUAAAGUA